CCAGAGGUCAGCCAUGGAACACAAAUCCUGGACCCUCUGGUGAUUCUUCCAAAGGACAUGAAGGUGAAAAUCGGAAUGUACGAGACGAGAGUUACAUAUAUCAGGAGCAGAGAGUGCAGCCGUGUCCUUUAAGUUCGUCGAUCUACUAUGGCGGACAAGAUGUAUCCCUAGUCCCCAGAGCCAGGGAUCUGGAUUGAACCCUGUGUACAAGAAAGAUGGUGGAGAAGAUGAUUCGGGGAGUGCAACAAGAGGAAACUGGUGGGAAGGGUCUCCAUAUUACUAAGAGCUCGUUUUCCUCUCAACAUACUCAUAUCAAGGUACCAUUAGUCAGAUAUCCAUAGUCACAUGAGUUUUAUACCGAUCAUAUCAUGCGAUCAUAAUUCAUAUCAAGAAUAA
This is a long non-coding RNA of Hibiscus syriacus, 396 nucleotides long. RefSeq lists it as uncharacterized. The record is from RefSeq and is a predicted model, not a curated record. The transcript is spliced from 4 exons. NCBI's taxonomy places the organism in Eukaryota, Viridiplantae, Streptophyta, Magnoliopsida, Malvales, Malvaceae.